AAACGGGGGCUAAUACGGGAUAGGUCGAAAGAUGAAAGGUUAACUGCCUGAAGAGGAGCUCGCGUCUGAUUAGCUAGUAGGUGUGGUAUGAGCGCACCUAGGCGACGAUCAGUAGCUGGUCUGAGAGGAUGAGCAUCCACACUGGGACUGAGACACGGCCCAGAUUCCUACGGGAUGCAGCAGUGGGGAAUUUUCCUCUAUGGGCGAAAGCCUGACGGAACAAGACCGCUUGGGGGAUGAACGCCUUUGGGUUGGAAACCCCUUUUGGUAGGUAAGAAAAAAAUGACCGUACCUUAUUUAUUCCCCUCCGCUAACUCCGUGCCAGCCGCCGCGGUUAUACCGAGGAGGGAAGCGGUUUUCGGAAUUAUUGGGCGUUAAGCGUCCGUAGGUGGCCCGGGAAGUCUGCUGGCAAAGACCACAGCUCAACUGUGGAAAGGCAGUGGAAACUGCCAGGCUAGAGUGCGGUAGGGGUAGAGGGAAUUCCCAGUGUAGCGGUGAAAUGCGUAAAGAUUGGGAAGAACACCGGUGGCGAAAGCGCUCUACUGGGCCGCAACUGACACUGAUGGACGAAAGCUAGGGGAGCGAAUGGGAUUAGAUCCCCC
RNAcentral lists this ribosomal RNA (602 nucleotides) under Oscillatoria sp. 13MNS2014. Its description in RNAcentral is "bacterial SSU rRNA". It matches the Rfam family "Bacterial small subunit ribosomal RNA", at positions 154 to 788 of the family's 1533-position model. The record is from RNAcentral. Lineage: Bacteria; Bacillati; Cyanobacteriota; Cyanophyceae; Oscillatoriales; Oscillatoriaceae.